Canis lupus familiaris (dog) is the source of this 106-nucleotide non-coding RNA. Lineage: Eukaryota; Metazoa; Chordata; Mammalia; Carnivora; Canidae. The record is from Rfam.
GUGUUUACUUUGGCAGCACAUAUGCUGAAAUUGGAACCACACAGAGAAGUUAGCAUGGCUUCUCUGCAAGGAUGACAUGCACAUUUGUGAAGCAUUCUAUAUUUUU